This 254-nucleotide ribosomal RNA is filed under the name uncultured bacterium. RNAcentral describes it as "partial 16S ribosomal RNA". It matches the Rfam family "Bacterial small subunit ribosomal RNA", at positions 524 to 776 of the family's 1533-position model. The record is from RNAcentral.
UACGGGGGGAGCAAGCGUUGUUCGGAUUUACUGGGCGUAAAGGGCGCGUAGGCGGCCAGCACAAGUCAGUUGUGAAAUCUCCGAGCUUAACUCGGAAAGGUCAACUGAUACUGUGCGGCUAGAGUGCGGAAGGGGCAACUGGAAUUCUUGGUGUAGCGGUGAAAUGCGUAGAUAUCCGGAGGAACACCGGUGGCGAAGGCGGCUUCCUGGACCGACACUGACGCUGAGGCGCGAAAGCGUGGGGAGCAAACAGG